Molecule: ribosomal RNA, 417 nt
Filed under: uncultured bacterium
Lineage: Bacteria
Description: bacterial SSU rRNA
Rfam family: Bacterial small subunit ribosomal RNA
Source: RNAcentral
GAGGAAUAUUGCGCAAUGGACGAAAGUCUGACGCAGCAACGCCGCGUGCGGGAUGAAGGCCUUUCAGGUCGUAAACCGCUGUAGCAGGGAAAAAAUAUCCCGUUAGACGGGAUUGAUGGUACCCUGAAAGUAAGCCUCGGCUAACUACGUGCCAGCAGCCGCGGUAAUACGUAGGAGGCGAGCGUUGUCCGGAUUUACUGGGUGUAAAGGGUCCGCAGGCGGGUAUUUAAGUCGGUGGUGAAAUCCUUCAGCUUAACUGAAGAGCUGCCUCCGAUACUGAAUAUCUUGAAUACGGGAGAGGGUGACGGAAUUCCAGGUGUAGCGGUGAAAUGCUUAGAUAUCUGGAAGAACACCGGUUGCGAAGGCUGUUGCCUGGCCCGUUAUUGACGCUCAUGGACGAAAGCGUGGGGAUCAAAC